This 72-nucleotide transfer RNA is filed under the name Acinetobacter phage Ac42. It matches the Rfam family "tRNA". From Rfam's summary of the family: Transfer RNA (tRNA) molecules are approximately 80 nucleotides in length. The record is from Rfam by way of RNAcentral. Lineage: Duplodnaviria; Heunggongvirae; Uroviricota; Caudoviricetes; Pantevenvirales; Straboviridae.
GGGCCUAUAACUCAAUAGUAGAGUACCGAUCUCAUAAAUCGGAGGAUUCAGGAGCGUAACCUGUUGGGCCCA